UACGAAGGGGGCUAGCGUUGCUCGGAAUCACUGGGCGUAAAGGGUGCGUAGGCGGGUCUUUAAGUCAGGGGUGAAAUCCUGGAGCUCAACUCCAGAACUGCCUUUGAUACUGAAGAAUCUUGAGUUCGGGAGAGGUGAGUGGAACUGCGAGUGUAGAGGUGAAAUUCGUAGAUAUUCGCAAGAACACCAGUGGCGAAGGCGGCUCACUGGCCCGAUACUGACGCUGAGGCACGAAAGCGUGGGGAGCAAACAGG
This 254-nucleotide ribosomal RNA is filed under the name uncultured bacterium. RNAcentral describes it as "partial 16S ribosomal RNA". It matches the Rfam family "Bacterial small subunit ribosomal RNA", at positions 524 to 776 of the family's 1533-position model. The record is from RNAcentral.